RNAcentral lists this transfer RNA (67 nucleotides) under Schistosoma mansoni. Lineage: Eukaryota; Metazoa; Platyhelminthes; Trematoda; Strigeidida; Schistosomatidae. The record is from RNAcentral.
UCAGUAGCUGAGUGGAUAACGUGAUGGCGUUUGAACCAAAAGGUACUGGGUUCGAGUCCCAGACUGA